AGAAGUGGUUAGCCUAACGCAAGAGGGCGAUCACCACGGUGUGGUUCAUGACUGGGGUGAAGUCGUAACAAGGUAGCCGUAGGGGAACCUGCGGCUGGAUCACCUCCUUAAACGA
RNAcentral lists this ribosomal RNA (115 nucleotides) under Halomonas sp. ATBC28. RNAcentral describes it as "partial 16S ribosomal RNA". It matches the Rfam family "Bacterial small subunit ribosomal RNA", at positions 1422 to 1533 of the family's 1533-position model. Lineage: Bacteria; Pseudomonadati; Pseudomonadota; Gammaproteobacteria; Oceanospirillales; Halomonadaceae. The record is from RNAcentral.